GCCGGGCAUGGUGGUGCGUGCCUGUAAUCCCAGCUACUUGGGAGGCUGAGGCAGGAGAAUUGCUUGAACCCAGGAGGUGGAGGUUGCAGUGAGCCGAGAUUGUGCCAAUGCACUCCAGCCUGGGUGACAGAGCAAGACUCUGUCUUAA
Macaca fascicularis (crab-eating macaque) is the source of this 148-nucleotide unclassified non-coding RNA. It matches the Rfam family "Metazoan signal recognition particle RNA". From Rfam's summary of the family: The signal recognition particle (SRP) is a universally conserved ribonucleoprotein. It is involved in the co-translational targeting of proteins to membranes. Lineage: Eukaryota; Metazoa; Chordata; Mammalia; Primates; Cercopithecidae. The record is from Ensembl.